AAGUUUAGGUUAACUAAACCAAGACCUUCAAAGCCUUAAACAGGGGCCUACCCCCU
Molecule: transfer RNA, 56 nt
Filed under: Stenodactylus slevini
Lineage: Eukaryota; Metazoa; Chordata; Lepidosauria; Squamata; Gekkonidae
Description: tRNA-Trp
Source: RNAcentral